AAGAAACCCAACACAGGCAGACGUUUGGGUAGAAAAAUAAGAAGCCUUUGCUUCUUCCCAAAAGCCAGCACCGUUAGUUUUGGUAUGCUAACACAAACUGGCAGCUUAAUGUCAAUGUCACUGACGGGAGUAUACGGAUACCUAUCACUAUUGCUGAGUACGGCCUACGAUUACUACUAGUAGUCACCAGGCCUUAAGUUGAGGAUUCUAUUUGAUGGUGCUCCAAGUUCCGAAGUACGAUUCGAGCAAAGAUUUUGGCUUCAAUAGGGGCAGUGGCUGCUGCAGCAGCAGCACGCAAA
This 299-nucleotide unclassified non-coding RNA is filed under the name Hevea brasiliensis (rubber tree). The record is from RNAcentral. Lineage: Eukaryota; Viridiplantae; Streptophyta; Magnoliopsida; Malpighiales; Euphorbiaceae.